This is a non-coding RNA of Podarcis lilfordi (Lilford's wall lizard), 1536 nucleotides long. NCBI's taxonomy places the organism in Eukaryota, Metazoa, Chordata, Lepidosauria, Squamata, Lacertidae. The record is from the annotation of a GenBank genome assembly.
AUUCCAUCUGCCUUCUAAAAAGGUAGCUCUUCUCCACAAGCAGGGGCUUUUCUCUGGCCAUUCUUUCUCUUGACACAAAUCCAGGUCAUCCGAGAUGGAGAGGCACAGCGGAGCCUUUGCGCCAGGUCCAAAUUUAGAUGCCGGUUUGGAUCUAAAUGACUUAGCCUUUAAGGGUAUUGUAAGCCAAGGGUGUGAUGUAAAUGAAGAAAACUACGUGUAUUUGAUGAGGAAUUGAAAAUAUGUUCCUUCAGACACACGCUCCCUAAUGUGAAGAACUUGAAUCGUUUCCAGAACUUUGUGGAAGUAGUACAGAAACUCCACCAGGAGGGCGCUUGGCACAGGACAACUCUACUUUGCUCUCCAUUUCAUUGCAUGUCAGACUGUACAGACUGCUGAAGCCUUUGCCAGCAGGAAUGAAGACAUAUAGAAGCCAGAAAGAGCAAUUCAGCUGAAUUUCCAAAAGGAGAAAAGUAAGGGCUGCACACUCUCUUUCCACAUGCUGCUGCUGUCAUUUCCCUAUCUUCUGACCAUAACUCUGUGGGGAGGGCCUAUGUCCCAUGUUCAAUCAUUGGCAUUUCUAGUUAAACGGCUCUUGGGUAACUGGUGAUGGAAAUUCAUAUUGUGAGGAUUACACUUCCCAGCUCCCACUGCCACUGAAGUCAGCAGUUUUUACAUUAUGCACUGGUAUCGUAAGAUAGCAUGGGUUGGGUUUUUGAGCGGAAAUGAGGAGAGGGUGUCAAAGAGGGAACAGAACUAAUAACUAUGCCCAGGGCUCACUUGCACAACCAUGAUUCACAUUUCAAUACAAAGCACUACAAAAUUAUUCCACUAUUGUAGUAGUUUGUGCAGUUAUUAGAAUCCAGAAAGCCAGAUAUGCCCAUCACAAAAGCGCAAAGGGAAAAGCUAUAAACUGACUGCAAAUUAGAUCCACAGAUCAUGCAAUUUCCAAGGCAAUGCACAAAACCCCUAGUAUCCAGAUGCUUAUGUAAGAACUCUACAUCCAUGACUUUUUGAAAAUGUUAAGCGUGAAUGUGACCAACAGCGGUAUCAUGCAGAUACACUAACCAGAGAGAAUACAUGAAUUUGUUACUUUGAACCUGUUUCAGAGACGUAAUACAAAUCUGAAUACACCUAAUCUCUGGAUAUGGUCUUCCAAGUGCUUGACAACCCUCCUGUUUUUGUACUCCCAGGCAAGCAGCGAAAACAGGUCUUUGCAGUCCCUGGUGUGCCAUCAUACAUUGCUCUUGGGCUUUAUUCAGUGCAGGGAUUUAGAAUCAUAGAAUCAUAGAAUCAUAGAGUUGGAAGAGACCACAAGGGCCAUCGAGUCCAACCCCCUGCCAAGCAGGAAACACCAUCAGAGCACUCCUGACAUAUGGUUGUCAAGCCUCUGCUUAAAGACCUCCAAAGAAGGAGACUCCACCACACUCCUUGGCAGCAAAUUCCACUGUCGAACAGCUCUUACUGUCAGGAAGUUCUUCCUAAUGUUUAGGUGGAAUCUUCUUUCUUGUAGUUGUAGACACUUGCCCCUGGCACAGG